RNAcentral lists this ribosomal RNA (526 nucleotides) under uncultured fungus. RNAcentral's name for it is "SSU rRNA". It matches the Rfam family "Eukaryotic small subunit ribosomal RNA", at positions 289 to 820 of the family's 1831-position model. The record is from RNAcentral. Lineage: Eukaryota; Fungi.
GAUGGUUCAUUCAAAUUUCUGCCCUAUCAACUUUCGAUGGUAGAGUAGUGGUCUACCAUGGUUUCAACGGGUAACGGGGAAUUAGGGUUCUAUUCCGGAGAGGGAGCCUGAGAAACGGUACCACAUCCAAGGAAGGCAGCAGGCGCGCAAAUUACCCAAUCCCGACACGGGGAGGUAGUGACAAUAAAUACUGAUACAGGGCUCUUUUGGGUCUUGUAAUCUGGAAUGAGCACAAUUUAAAUCCCUUAACGAGGAACAAUUUGGAGGGCAAGUCUGGUGCCAGCAGCCGCGGUAAUUCCAGCUCCAAUAGCGUAUAUUAAAGUUGUUGCAGUUAAAAAGCUCGUAGUUGAACCUUGGGCCUGGCUGGCCGGUCCGCCUCACCGCGUGCACUGGUCCGGCCGGGCCUUUCCUUCUGGGGAGCCGCAUGCCCUUCACUGGGUGUGUCGGGGAACCAGGACUUUUACUUUGAAACAAUUAGAGUGUUCAAAGCAGGCCUAUGCUCGAAUACAUUAGCAUGGAUUAUAGA